This 484-nucleotide ribosomal RNA is filed under the name uncultured bacterium. RNAcentral describes it as "partial 16S ribosomal RNA". It matches the Rfam family "Bacterial small subunit ribosomal RNA", at positions 30 to 507 of the family's 1533-position model. The record is from RNAcentral.
AUUGAACGCUGGCGGCAGGCCUAACACAUGCAAGUCGAGCGGUUGAAGGGAGCUUGCUCCUGGAUUCAGCGGCGGACGGGUGAGUAAUGCCUAGGAAUCUGCCUGGUAGUGGGGGAUAACGUCCGGAAACGGGCGCUAAUACCGCAUACGUCCUGAGGGAGAAAGUGGGGGAUCUUCGGACCUCACGCUAUCAGAUGAGCCUAGGUCGGAUUAGCUAGUUGGUGGGGUAAAGGCCUACCAAGGCGACGAUCCGUAACUGGUCUGAGAGGAUGAUCAGUCACACUGGAACUGAGACACGGUCCAGACUCCUAAGGGAGGCAGCAGUGGGGAAUAUUGGACAAUGGGCGAAAGCCUGAUCCAGCCAUGCCGCGUGUGUGAAGAAGGUCUUCGGAUUGUAAAGCACUUUAAGUUGGGAGGAAGGGCAGUAAGUUAAUACCUUGCUGUUUUGACGUUACCAACAGAAUAAGCACCGGCUAACUUCGUG